UACAGAGGGUGCGAGCGUUAAUCGGAAUUACUGGGCGUAAAGCGUGCGUAGACGGUAGCGUAAGUCAGAUGUGAAAGCCCCGGGCUCAACCUGGGAAUUGCAUUUGAGACUGCUCUGCUCGGGUGCGGAAGAGGGAAGCGGAAUUUCCGGUGUAGCGGUGAAAUGCGUAGAUAUCGGGAAGAACACCCGUGGCGAAGGCGGCUCUCUGGGACGGUACUGACGCUGAGACGCGAAAGCGUGGGGAGCGAACAGG
This 253-nucleotide ribosomal RNA is filed under the name uncultured bacterium. RNAcentral's name for it is "partial 16S ribosomal RNA". It matches the Rfam family "Bacterial small subunit ribosomal RNA", at positions 524 to 776 of the family's 1533-position model. The record is from RNAcentral.